RNAcentral lists this ribosomal RNA (253 nucleotides) under uncultured bacterium. RNAcentral describes it as "partial 16S ribosomal RNA". It matches the Rfam family "Bacterial small subunit ribosomal RNA", at positions 524 to 776 of the family's 1533-position model. The record is from RNAcentral.
UACAGAGGGUGCAAGCGUUGCUCGGAAUUAUUGGGCGUAAAGGGUAGGUAGGUGGUCUCAUUUGUCUGGGGUGAAAGCCUUGGGCUUAACUCAAGAAGUGCCCCAGAAACGGUGAGACUGGAGUCCUGGAGAGGGUCGUGGAAUUCCCGGUGUAGCGGUGAAAUGCGUAGAUAUCUGGAGGAACACCGGUGGCGAAGGCGGCAUCCUGGACCGGUAUUGACGCUGAGGAGCGAAAGCCAGGGGAGCAAACGGG